Molecule: long non-coding RNA, 1463 nt
Filed under: Homo sapiens (human)
Lineage: Eukaryota; Metazoa; Chordata; Mammalia; Primates; Hominidae
Description: HSALNT0107183
Source: RNAcentral
AAAGUUUCAAACUUUGAAGUUUAUACAUCUUCGUCUCAAGUUCUCCUCUCCCAGUGUGGCCCACAGACCCCUUUUAUUUUUUUCAUGAGACAGGGUCACUCUGUCACCCAGGCUGGAGUGCAGUGAUGUGAUCAUAGCUCACUGUAGUCUCAAACUCCUGGGCUCAAGCUAUACUCCUGCCUCAGCCUCCAGAGUAGCUGGGACUACAGUUGUGUGCCAGCUAAUUUUUUAUUUUUUGUAGAGAUGGGGUCUCCCUAUGUUGCCUAGGCUAGUCUCAAACUUCUGGCCUCAAGCUAUACUCCUGCCUCAGCCUCCAGAGUAGCUGGGACUACAGUUGUGUGCCAGCUAAUUUUUUAUUUUUUGUAGAGAUGGGGUCUCCCUAUAUUGCCUAGGCUGGUCUCAAACUUCUGGCCUCAAGCGAUCCUCCUGCCUUGGCCUCCCAAAGUGCUGGGAUUACAAGCAUAAGCCACUGUACCCAAGCUCCACAGAUCCCUCAUGUCUUAAUGUACUUUCCCUUUGGAAAUAUGGUCUCAGUUAGCAAGGUAAACUGCAGUCAACAGCCAGUUGACAAAAUGCUGGGGAAAAGGAUCACUGAAUGGGCCAAAAGAAGCUGGAUUUCAUCUCAUUCACAAGUUUAUCCAGAGCAGGCCUGCAGUAGGUCUAUAAGACAGGGCUUCUUGGUGGACACUUUGAGAAUCUUUCAGAGCCCAAAACAUUGAUACUCAGGGAAAAAGGCCAUCCUCCCACCGUGAAAUCCAGCCGGGUGUACUGGGUUCACAGGUGGGGGUAUGAGCCACACUUGGAGGUGGGGCAGCUGUAGAAAUGUGGGAAGCAAGGAUUUCCCUUGGCCUUGGGAUUUGUUCAAGGUGGGGCCUUUGUUUUCCCUCCAGGAAAUUAGUUCAGACUUUCUGGCUGGUAGCCUGGAAGAAGCCUGCAGACAUGGCCUUCCAACCAUGCAACCUGAAGAAGAAGGCGGAGAGGAAAGUUGGUGAGGUCCAUGACUCAGGAAUCCAUCAAAGAUGGAGUUAUGCUUUUGUUGUCCAGGCUAGAGUGUAAUGGCAGGAUUUUGGCUCACUGCAACCUCCACCUCUGGGGUUCAAAUGAUUCUCCUGACUCAGCCUCCCCAGUAGCUGGAGUUACAGGUGCCCGUCAACCAUACCUGGCUACUUUUUUGGAUUUUUAGUAGAGAUGGGGUUUCACUGUGUUGGCCAGGCUGGUCUCAAACUCUUGCCCUCAGGUGAUCCACCCACCUUGGCCUCCCAAAGUGCUGGGAUUACAGGUGUGAGCCACCGCACCAGCAAUAAUUUUUAAAGCUGCCAAUUUUCGGAUCAUGAACAGCACUCCCCAUUUUAAAAUAAAUAGAUGAUCAUAUAAAAUAAGAAAUUAUUGAAUGGGCAAAAACUGGAAGCAUUCCAUUUGAAAACUGGCACAAGACAGGGAUGCCCUCUCUCACCACUCCUAUU